Molecule: ribosomal RNA, 907 nt
Filed under: Salmonella enterica subsp. houtenae
Lineage: Bacteria; Pseudomonadati; Pseudomonadota; Gammaproteobacteria; Enterobacterales; Enterobacteriaceae
Description: partial 23S ribosomal RNA
Rfam family: Bacterial large subunit ribosomal RNA
Source: RNAcentral
AGACCCGAAACCCGGUGAUCUAGCCAUGGGCAGGUUGAAGGUUGGGUAACACUAACUGGAGGACCGAACCGACUAAUGUUGAAAAAUUAGCGGAUGACCUGUGGCUGGGGGUGAAAGGCCAAUCAAACCGGGAGAUAGCUGGUUCUCCCCGAAAGCUAUUUAGGUAGCGCCUCGUGAAUUCAUCUCCGGGGGUAGAGCACUGUUUCGGCCAGGGGGCCAUCCCGGCUUACCAAUCCGAUGCAAACUGCGAAUACCGGAGAAUGUUAUCACGGGAGACACACGGCGGGUGCUAACGUCCGUCGUGAAGAGGGAAACAACCCAGACCGCCAGCUAAGGUCCCAAAGUCAUGGUUAAGUGGGAAACGAUGUGGGAAGGCCCAGACAGCCAGGAUGUUGGCUUAGAAGCAGCCAUCAUUUAAAGAAAGCGUAAUAGCUCACUGGUCGAGUCGGCCUGCGCGGAAGAUGUAACGGGGCUAAACCAUGCACCGAAGCUGCGGCAGCGACACUGAUGUGUUGUUGGGUAGGGGAGCGUUCUGUAAGCCGUUGAAGGUGGCCUGUGAGGGUUGCUGGAGGUAUCAGAAGUGCGAAUGCUGACAUAAGUAACGAUAAAGCGGGUGAAAAGCCCGCUCGCCGGAAGACCAAGGGUUCCUGUCCAACGUUAAUCGGGGCAGGGUGAGUCGACCCCUAAGGCGAGGCCGAAAGGCGUAGUCGAUGGGAAACGGGUUAAUAUUCCCGUACUUGGUGUUACUGCGAAGGGGGGACGGAGAAGGCUAUGUUGGCCGGGCGACGGUUGUCCCGGUUUAAGCGUGUAGGUGUGUGUUCCAGGUAAAUCCGGUUCACUUUAACACUGAGGCGUGAUGACGAGGCACUACGGUGCUGAAGCAACAAAUGCCCUGCUUCCAGGAAAA